Molecule: long non-coding RNA, 833 nt
Organism: Pimephales promelas (fathead minnow)
Lineage: Eukaryota; Metazoa; Chordata; Actinopteri; Cypriniformes; Leuciscidae
Source: RefSeq, a predicted model, not a curated record
GAAAGAUCAACCUGAUUGCAAGCAUCCUUUCUUACAUCUAUAUGGUGGGACAACCUCCUAAAUCUUGUCAAUUUGGAGUUCAUGCGUAAACAAGUGUUAAGCUGAUAUCAAAAUUCAUUGGUCAACUGGACACAUACACUGAUGAAGGUUUUCCGUCACAAAGGAGGAUGUGCAGGACAGAAAAUCUGCACCAUAAUGGCACUGACAGCUAAAAUUUUAAUUUGGACCCCACUGUAUCUGGCACAUCAGCAUCAGUACUACAUUCUGCUACUCACUUAUAGUCAUCUGGCAGUUCCAUAAGACCCUGAAUAACAUGAGGUAACUCUAUUUUCACAAUGAACAGGUACGUGGACAUUGCUGUUGGAUCAAAGAAAGAACACAAUUAGUGUUGUGAUCAGCACUCAUAUUGCUUUAUGUGGUUAUCACUGAUGUUAAUUUAUCACAUGACCGUAUGACGUCUUAUGACUUCAUGAGUAUAACUAAAUACUGAAAAGCAAUGAUGGCUGAAAUGAAAGCAAUAAUGCAUUUCAUUUUACCUCCAAUGUUGUGCAAUGUUAUAACGCAUCCUGCUAAGAUUUUCCCAGGUGUACCAAAUGCAUGGUUCCCGAGCUGUUCAUAUGCACGGAUCCCUAAACACACAAACAAACGUAAUGGAAAGGUGAGAUGCUUUUUUCAUGGGUUUACCAUUUACCAUUCCUGAAACCAUUUACAUGGUUUCAGGAUUGCCUUUGCAGACAUUAGAGAGAAGACGUUUCUCACCAACUACUUCAGCACUCCUCAGAAGCAGGUGGAUUGAGUACGCAGAGAGAAGAGCGAUGCUUAUCAACAGGAUU